RNAcentral lists this small RNA (735 nucleotides) under uncultured fungus. RNAcentral describes it as "SSU rRNA". It matches the Rfam family "Eukaryotic small subunit ribosomal RNA", at positions 314 to 1053 of the family's 1831-position model. Lineage: Eukaryota; Fungi. The record is from RNAcentral.
AUCAACUUUCGAUGGUAGGAUAGAGGCCUACCAUGGUGGUAACGGGUAACGGGGUGUUAGGGCACGACACCGGAGAGGGAGCCUGAGAAACGGCUACCACAUCCAAGGAUGGCAGCAGGCGCGCAAAUUACCCAAUCCCGAUACGGGGAGGUAGUGACAAUAAAUAACAAUACGGGGUUCUUUCGGAUCUCGUAAUUGGAAUGAGUACAAUUUAAAUCUCUUAACGAGGAACAAUUGGAGGGCAAGUCUGGUGCCAGCAGCCGCGGUAAUUCCAGCUCCAAUAGCGUAUAUUAAAGUUGUUGCAGUUAAAAAGCUCGUAGUUGAAUUUCGGGGUCAGUAGGUUGGUCGUGCCUCUGGUAUGUACUGGCUUUACUGAUUCCUCCUUCUUGAAGAACUGUAAAGUCAUUAGUUUGGUGUUGCAGAGAAACAGGACUGUUACUUUGAAAAAAUUAGAGUGUUUAAAGCAGGCUAACGCUUGAAUACAUUAGCAUGGAAUAAUGAAAUAGGACGUUUGAUCCUAUUUUGUUGGUUUCUAGGAUCGACGUAAUGAUUAAUAGGGAUAGUUGGGGGCAUUAGUAUUCAAUUGUCAGAGGUGAAAUUCUUGGAUUUAUUGAAGACUAACUACUGCGAAAGCAUUUGCCAAGGAUGUUUUCAUUAAUCAAGAACGAAAGUUAGGGGAUCGAAGACGAUCAGAUACCGUCGUAGUCUUAACCAUAAACUAUGCCGACUAGGGAU